UGGGGAAUAUUGGACAAUGGGCGAAAGCCUGAUCCAGCCAUGCCGCGUGGAUGAUGACGGCCCUAGGGUUGUAAAGUCCUUUCGACGGGGAAGAUAAUGACGGUACCCGUAGAAGAAGCCCCGGCUAACUUCGUGCCAGCAGCCGCGGUAAUACGAAGGGGGCUAGCGUUGCUCGGAAUCACUGGGCGUAAAGCGCACGUAGGCGGCUUUCUAAGUCAGGGGUGAAAUCCUGGAGCUCAACUCCAGAACUGCCUUUGAUACUGGAGAGCUUGAGUUCGGGAGAGGUGAGUGGAACUGCGAGUGUAGAGGUGAAAUUCGUAGAUAUUCGCAAGAACACCAGUGGCGAAGGCGGCUCACUGGCCCGAUACUGACGCUGAGGUGCGAAAGCGUGGGGAGCAAACAG
Molecule: ribosomal RNA, 403 nt
Filed under: uncultured bacterium
Lineage: Bacteria
Description: bacterial SSU rRNA
Rfam family: Bacterial small subunit ribosomal RNA
Source: RNAcentral